UGGCCUCACAGCUCCCUAGUUCAACAAUUGCUAAGGAGCUUUUAUUAACAUCUCAAAUACCUCCUUUUCCUUCUCCCUUUCUCAGAGGGGGUAAGAAAUGCUUCAGAUUCCUGAGUUUAGAAGAGCUUGGGGGCAUUCUUCUUAGCAGAGGAUAAGCUGAAAGGAGAACAGCAUCCCUCCCCAGAGCCUCUGUCACCCUGCACCUGUCAGGCUUAUGACUUGCCAGGUUUGGGUGAGGUACUGAUAAGGGAAACAUACUUUAAAGAGACUGACAAAUCCAUCUAAAUGCUGUUUAAUUCAUCUUGAUAAGGAAGGGUUGUGGAGAGCUUUAUGCCACCUUUACUUCUCUUUUCCCUCUGUAGGUCUCAGGCUGGGCCAUGUUUUCACAAAACCAAGAUUUCAGUAGCAGAAUGACUGUACUAUUUGAAAAACAGGACUAAGUUCAGAGAAUACAUAAAAGUGAUAGCAUUUAACUACUUCACAUUUUUUAUUAAUUGUUUUAAUUGCUUUUCAGCAUCAGCCACCUUUAACAGACACCCAAACAAAAGGCAUCUAAAUGGAUGUUCACUUCCCUCUUCCUCUCCCAGUAGGAAUUUAGUCUCCCAUGUUUUCCCUCCUCCUAGCAAAAAACCAUGAGAGCCCCCCUACAUUCAGCUUGCUGCCUUUCCUGAGGUUACUGUGUGAGCUUUUUCUCCACUAAUGGUGCCUCUCAGCUUACCCCAUGUUCGCUGUUUGUUUUUGGGCUCAGCCUGCAAUAGUAAUCAAGGCCAAAUAUUUGCUCAAAUGAAGUGCCUCUGUGGUUCUCAUUCCAGGAAGCUGGCUGAGGACAAAGUGAAACUAGCUUGAAAUACUCUAGUAUGCCCAAGAGAUGCUAGGAGCAAGGGAUUUUUCCAGUGCUGUAGAAAGUCAUCCAGAUUCUCAUUGUAGCUUUGUUGUGGGAACUGCAGGGGAACUAACUCAUUUAUAGCCUGCCCCAGUGAAAGACACCACUUUUGUCUGCCAGAAACCAAAGUCAGUCCAGUCAAAGCCAAACUUUAGGACUGUUCUGUUGGGCCACAACCAGAAAGAAGACCCAGUGUGAAGUCACACAAGCAUUCAUUCUCCCUGUUCUGCAAGGCUGAAGCCCACAUUUUUCUGAUAAGAGGAGGCUAUAUCCUUUGUGCUUGCAAGUCAGUGGCAGGUCUUAUAAACACACCCACAGAUUCUCAGCCUAACAUAUUGCAAGCUCUGUGCAUCUGGAGCCAGUGCAUGCUUUGCUCAACAACCCCCCUUUCAUUUCUGCCAAGAUUCCCUCCCACAUUUGGGACUUUUUUCCUGCUCCCUUGAGAGCCUCCUCAAUUCUCCCAGCUCCUCCAGCCUCCCACUGUCAGAGUGGACUGUUCUGGACAGCUUUCCUGGUCUGCUCUGCCUUUGGGAACAUAUGGACCACUGCAGGAAGCUGAGCACAAAGAUCUGUGCAUUACCCUUAUUUUCAGCCCUGUGUUUGAGUCAGGGGGAUGGACCAGAAGACUGAACUGAGAGUGCUGACAUAGAAAGCAGAGAAUCUCCAAAACCUACUGGGGCAUUAGCUUUGUAGGAUGUGAGAAAUUACCAACAGAGAUACAUGACGUGCCAUCACUGUGGGAAGCCAUCUUUUAGAUGAGAUGCAGACAAGCUCCAUCUAACACAGUCACCUUCUUUCCCAUUUAUCAGACCAUCGUUUCCUGGGAAUAUUCUGGAACAAGGAAAGCAAUUCACUGGGCAUCCUGUGUGUUUUCAUAACACACCACCAAUUCCCGUCAAAAAUCAAUAGCUCACUGAGGAGUAGCAGACUACUGAGCUGCCCAGGCUAGCACCUGCUCUGCAAUAUUUCUCAGCUACCAAAAGACAGGAAAGCAUUAGAGGAAUCAAACCCACAGCACAGAGGUGCUCAGGGACUUAAGGACUCCUGAAAUUCCUCCAUGUGAGGUAGCAACUUGUUUUAGUCCAGGGUGUAAGGAGUUCCUGCACGCGGUGCUGCCUUCUUGGACUGGUUCAAGGACAAAAAAAAGAAGUUAAAAGAUUUUCCAUGGAAUAGAAUAUUUGGACUUUGAGUUACAAACACAAGCAUGACACAGAUCAUAAAACAUGAAAUAAGGUAGCUCUGCUCUCUUCUACACAGUGGGGCAAAGCAUUUAACCUGUUGUAAAUCCUGUCCACUCCCUCCUUGUCUUUUCUGUUUAUACAUGGAAUUAAAGCAUCCUUAAGCCUCUUACUACUCUACCACUCUCCUGAUUACAGCCGCAUCUAACACUGAACUUGAAGCACACACCUAUACGAAGUCAUGAGAAAAAACUUUGCAUUACAUGGAAAAAAAAGAGUCAUAUGCAGAAAAGGAAGAAGGAAAGUGCCACCCUUCAAACUGAAGAAAGUUUUGGCCCAUGAGCUGCUGAAGAAAGACACAGAUGUGUGGACUGCAGCCCUUCUCCUGCAGCACUUUGUAAAGCAAGUGAACAGUCCCAGGCAGGAGGAGGCUUUCUGCAUUUUGAACAGGCCAAGGUGAGGAGUCGUGCAGGGCAGAGCACCCUGAGAAAUUGGACCUUGUGACCUGGACUUGCACAUCCAUGAGCAGAGACAUGGGAAAUGCUGCCUUUCUGGAGCGAGAGUGGGGAGGGGAGUGCUGGAAGCUGCAGACAGGAAGAGCCUGACUUGGGAAAAGCGAAGCAGGUAACAAUCAUACAACUAUUUAUGGCUCUUUUUCCUUGCGACAACCGCAGCCUUAUAAGGGCAAGAGCGCUUUACUCGGGGCAGAGCUGCGGAGGUGGAGCCUCCAGGGGCACUCCUGAUGCUUGCUCCCAGGCUAUCUGCCUGCACAAGCCGCUGACCUCCUUCCCGGGAAAAACCCUGGGAACCCUCGCUGAAUCCAGCUGUUCAAAUUUCAAAUUACAAAACGCCUCGGCUCCCCUCCCCUUCUCCCCAUACCUCCUACUAGCUGGAGCUGUGGUGAAGCAGAAAUGUCUGCAUUUGUAAUGUUGUGGGUAUCUGGGAGCAGUGGGUUGGAGAGCCCCCCGCAGCUGACAUGGGAAACCUAUUCCCAUCUGGUUGUGAUAGUACUGAGAACUGGAAGAAAAAAGAAAGGAAAAACAAACAACCCUCCCCUCGACCCCUCCCAGUGUUGCUUGUCGGCCACUAGCGAGUGUGUGAAAGGCUGCAGCUGGCAAAUCUGGUGCACAAACUCUGUUGCAGAUCCUUCUGCCUAUGGUUGUGGUUCGGAGCCCCCCCUAACUCUGGCUGAGCUUCCAGUGUGUGUGUAUUGGGUUCUUACACAUUUCAACCCUGUGCAGUCCACCCAGCUGAACUAUGCUGGAAAUGGGUUGCAAAUAAAACUAAACAUAAACAUGCUAAAAAUGUCGCUGUCAUCAGAUAAGGUUGCUAUGUACAUAAAAUUCCUGACACGAGUUCAUUAGACCAAGGACAUGAAAAGUUAAGCCACAUGCAUAUGUUGGCUGGGAUGGGGAGGAGGGUAUGGUGAGCAGGGAUUCAGCCUGAAGCUAUAUUUUUUUUGGCCUUCUAACAACCCAUAGCCAUCACCCUAUGUGUGUGACUCAAUUUCUUGCAAUAGGAAGGGAAAAAGGAAAAAAAAUAACAAAUGUUACAGCACCCACUUCCUUCUGUGAACACAGGUGUGAUUUGGGAGGGAGCAGGAGGCAGGGUCAGCCAUGUCACUUGCGAGGUGUGGAAGGUUGGCUUUCCAGAGGACAAAGCACAUGCUGACGAAGUCUUUACUCAGCAGUCUUUACCAAAAGCAGUCAUUGUUAGCACUGCAGGAGGCACUUAUCUCUGCAUUAUAAGAGAGGAAACAGGCACCAAGAGCUUCCUUUAUGAUAAACUUCUUGUAGUUGUGGCUAUGUUCAACUUGCAGAAACAUGGGAUUGCCUGGGCUAGGUGCUCCCACAUGGACUUACCAGUCCUUGGACACUCAGGUUUGCAGAAGUGCCUGAAUGCAAUGACCUUCCCUACCACAUACUGAGUUGUUAUAAUUCUCAAGCCACAUAUUUUAAGAGAGGGGUAGGAGCUGUGAGAGGGAUUUCAGGUGAUCCCCCCCUCUCCCGAGCUUACCACAACAGCUACCCUUUGGCUGCUUCCAGGCUGGCUGUGGCUCAAGAAGGAGAAGCUGUGCACCCUUCACCCCAGGAUGAGCAAUGUGGGUUAGAUUAACCUGCAAAGGUGGAACAUCAUGUCCUCCUCAGCCUCACAAAGGUCAGGGUUGGGGCUUCACGGCUAUGUGAAAUCAGCACAAGUCAGAGCAGCCUCUGAAGGAGGGCUGUUCUCCUUCCUCCUCUGAUAUUCAUACUACCACUGCUAGUCUCGUAUUACAGCCAGCUGAUCCAGCUGGAAACAACCUUGAAACUAAAGAAAGGCAGAUGUUUCCAGUUUGAUAAUUUCUUUGAUCCAUUUGACUACCUGGUUGCUACACAGGUGCUGAAAAUAUACAGUCGUGGGAAGCCAGACACAAGCUGCUCAGAAACUAUGAGGGAAUUGAAGCUCAGGAGAGGCCAGAAAGCCUUCUUUCCAGAAAUAUCACGAAUGAGUUGAAUUCAGAUGUGUGGCUGGUCACAGGGGUUCUUUUAGCAUCCCACGGGCAAGUGCUUGCAAUCAGUAUCUGAAUUAAGGGAUAAAUUAAGAGAUGUCUAUUACCAAAAAAGUAGAAUUACCAAAAUCACAGCAUCAUUUAGCAUAGGCAGUAAUUUUGAGGUCUCCAUAUCAACAUCCUGCUUGGAGCAGGGCCAGCAUUAAUGUUGGAUCAAGGUGCUCAGGGCUAAAUCUCUGAGGAUGACAAAUCCACCAUCUCUGUUCUUGCCUCUUGUCCUUUCACUGAGCACCUCUGGCAAUCUGGCUUUAUCUUUCAAAUAACCCCCAUUUGGGUAGUAGAAGCCAGCAGUUACAUAGUCCCCCUCACAAGCCUGCGUUCCCCUUUCCAAAUCAACCCAGCUCCCUCAGCCCCUGCUCAUGUGUCAGG
Molecule: long non-coding RNA, 4978 nt
Organism: Neopelma chrysocephalum (saffron-crested tyrant-manakin)
Lineage: Eukaryota; Metazoa; Chordata; Aves; Passeriformes; Pipridae
Exons: 3
Source: RefSeq, a predicted model, not a curated record